CACACUGACGGAGGGCAAAAGAUGAAAUUGGACUAAUAUAAAGACUAGAAAGUCCCUGAUUUAAAAGGAUAAACUGGAAAAAGAGAGAAGCAGAAGUUUACUACGUAAUCCUGCGUUAUCGACGUGGAAGAUCUAGGUCUUGUAAACCCGUGUGGUCAAAAAGCUUGAAAGUCUUUUAUUAGCUUGAGGAUUUUAAAAGUCUAUUUUUGAACAAAUAGAUUCUCUCUGUCCUUUUAGGGAGAAGAAGCACUCAUGUACAUCAAGACAUGAAGAGCAAUAUCAUUCCCAGCUAUUGUUACACAUCGAGGCCUGUGUGUCUGUACAGUGCACACGGAUGUGGAGGUAGAGAGCAGGGCCGAACUGACAUGGACACUGAAGGAGAGAUGCCCAU
Long non-coding RNA from Carassius auratus (goldfish), 391 nucleotides. RefSeq lists it as uncharacterized. NCBI's taxonomy places the organism in Eukaryota, Metazoa, Chordata, Actinopteri, Cypriniformes, Cyprinidae. The transcript is spliced from 3 exons. The record is from RefSeq and is a predicted model, not a curated record.